This 794-nucleotide ribosomal RNA is filed under the name Chroococcales cyanobacterium PE8E1. RNAcentral's name for it is "bacterial SSU rRNA". It matches the Rfam family "Bacterial small subunit ribosomal RNA", at positions 57 to 898 of the family's 1533-position model. Lineage: Bacteria; Bacillati; Cyanobacteriota; Cyanophyceae; Chroococcales. The record is from RNAcentral.
GCAAGUAGAACGGUCUUCGGGUUAGUGGCGGACGGGUGAGUAACGCGUGAGAAUCUGCCCUCAGGAGGGGGAUAACGGCUGGAAACGGCCGCUAAUACCCCAUAUGCCGAGAGGUGAAAUGAAUUUCGCCUGAGGAUGAGCUCGCGUCUGAUUAGCUAGUUGGUGAGGUAAGGGCUCACCAAGGCUUCGAUCAGUAGCUGGUCUGAGAGGAUGAUCAGCCACACUGGGACUGAGACACGGCCCAGACUCCUACGGGAGGCAGCAGUGGGGAAUUUUCCGCAAUGGGCGAAAGCCUGACGGAGCAACGCCGCGUGAGGGAUGAAGGCCUCUGGGCUGUAAACCUCUUUUAUCAAGGAAGAAGAUCUGACGGUACUUGAUGAAUAAGCCACGGCUAAUUCCGUGCCAGCAGCCGCGGUAAUACGGGAGUGGCAAGCGUUAUCCGGAAUUAUUGGGCGUAAAGCGUCCGCAGGCGGUUUUGAAAGUCUGUUGUUAAAGCGUGGAGCUUAACUCCAUUUCAGCAAUGGAAACUGCAAGACUAGAGUGUGGUAGGGGCAGAGGGAAUUCCCCGUGUAGCGGUGAAAUGCGUAGAUAUGGGGAAGAACACCAGUGGCGAAGGCGCUCUGCUGGGACAUAACUGACGCUCAUGGACGAAAGCCAGGGGAGCGAAAGGGAUUAGAUACCCCUGUAGUCCUGGCCGUAAACGAUGAACACUAGGUGUCGGGGGAAUCGACCCCCUCGGUGUCGUAGCCCACGCGUUAAGUGUUCCGCCUGGAGAGUACGCACGCAAGUGUGAA